UGGGUGUGGGCGUGGGUGCAAAGUAGGUGCCAUAUAAGGCGCUAAUCCUUUCUCACGUAGGAAUCCUUCUUUAAUAAGUUGUAGACUGAUUCAAAGCUUGUUUGAAUUAGGAGUCCCAUUCUUAUUGGAUUAUAACAAUUAUCUAUAAAUCGAGAGGGUUUCUACUUAUAGAUGCAUAGCAAUCAGAUUGUGAAGAGUGAGAAAGAGAGAAAGA
Molecule: long non-coding RNA, 214 nt
Filed under: Elaeis guineensis (African oil palm)
Lineage: Eukaryota; Viridiplantae; Streptophyta; Magnoliopsida; Arecales; Arecaceae
Description: long non-coding RNA (EGUI_LNC046216)
Source: RNAcentral